GACGAACCGUGCGAGCGUUGUUCGGAAUCACUGGGCUUAAAGGGCGCGUAGGCGGGCCGUCCAGUCAGGGGUGAAAUCCUCCAGCUUAACUGGAGAACAGCUUUUGAUACUGACGGGCUCGAGGGGGGUAGGGGCAUGUGGAACUUCCGGUGGAGCGGUGAAAUGCGUAGAUAUCGGAAGGAACGCCGGUGGCGAAAGCGACGUGCUGGACCCUUUCUGACGCUGAGGCGCGAAAGCCAGGGGAGCAAACGGG
RNAcentral lists this ribosomal RNA (253 nucleotides) under uncultured bacterium. Its description in RNAcentral is "partial 16S ribosomal RNA". It matches the Rfam family "Bacterial small subunit ribosomal RNA", at positions 524 to 776 of the family's 1533-position model. The record is from RNAcentral.